RNAcentral lists this ribosomal RNA (465 nucleotides) under uncultured bacterium. RNAcentral's name for it is "bacterial SSU rRNA". It matches the Rfam family "Bacterial small subunit ribosomal RNA", at positions 338 to 795 of the family's 1533-position model. The record is from RNAcentral.
CCUACAGGUCGCACCAGUGGGGAAUCCUGGGCAAUGGGCGCAAGCCUGACCCAGCGACGCCGCGUGUGGGAAGAAGGCCCUCGGGUCGUAAACCACUGUCAGGAGGGAAGAAAAGCAGUUCCCCAACAGGGGGCUGUAUUGACGGUACCUCCAGAGGAAGCACCGGCCAACUCCGUGCCAGCAGCCGCGGUAAUACGGAGGGUGCAGGCGUUAUUCGGAAUCACUGGGCGUAAAGCGCGCGUAGGCGGCAGCGCAAGUCAGAUGUGAAAGCCCUCGGCUAAACCGGGGAAUUGCAUCUGAAACUGCGUAGCUAGAGUUCGGGAGAGGGCGGCGGAACUCCCGGUGUAGGGGUGAAAUCCGUAGAUAUCGGGAGGAACACCAGAGGCGAAGGCGGCCGCCUGGACCGAAACUGACGCUGAGGCGCGAAAGCGUGGGUAGCAAACAGGAUUAGAUACCCGUGUAGUC